This 484-nucleotide ribosomal RNA is filed under the name uncultured bacterium. RNAcentral's name for it is "partial 16S ribosomal RNA". It matches the Rfam family "Bacterial small subunit ribosomal RNA", at positions 28 to 507 of the family's 1533-position model. The record is from RNAcentral.
AUUGAACGCUGGCGGCAUGCUUUACACAUGCAAGUCGAACGGCAGCGCGGGCUUCGGCCUGGCGGCGAGUGGCGAACGGGUGAGUAAUGCAUCGGAAAGUGCCCAGUAGUGGGGGAUAGCCCGGCGAAAGCCGGAUUAAUACCGCAUACGACCUGCGGGUGAAAGCGGGGGACCGAAAGGCCUCGCGCUAUUGGAGCGGCCGAUGUCGGAUUAGUUAGUUGGUGGGGUAAAGGCUUACCAAGGCGACGAUCCGUAGCUGGUCUGAGGGGACGACCAGCCACACUGGGACUGAGACACGGCCCAGACUCCUACGGGAGGCAGCAGUGGGGAAUUUUGGACAAUGGGGGCAACCCUGAUCCAGCCAUGCCGCGUGCGGGAAGAAGGCCUUCGGGUUGUAAACCGCUUUUGUUCGGGAAGAAAUCCUCUGGGCUAAUACCCCGGGGGGAUGACGGUACCGGAAGAAUAAGCACCGGCUAACUACGUG